Molecule: ribosomal RNA, 1311 nt
Filed under: Triticum aestivum (bread wheat)
Lineage: Eukaryota; Viridiplantae; Streptophyta; Magnoliopsida; Poales; Poaceae
Description: partial small subunit ribosomal RNA
Source: RNAcentral
AUGCCUGCCUCCUCCUAUGGAAAUCUCCAAGCAACUUCCGCCGCCGCCUCGACGGGGGACCUGAUGCCUGCCUCCUCCUAUGGAAAUCUCCCAGCAACUUCCGCCGCCGCCUCGACGGGCGACCUGAUGCCUGCCUCCUCCUAUGGAAAUCCCCAAGCAACUUCUGCCGCCGCCUCGACGGGCGACCUGAUGCCUGCCUCCUCCUAUGGAAAUCUCCAAGCAACUUCCGCCGCCGCCUCGGCGGGCGACCUGAUGCCUGCCUCCCAAGAUAGGCCUCACGCCUCCCCCUCCCCCUCCACCGGCGACGCUCUCCGUCCACGGCUGCACAUGUCAAGAUGGCGCGAGGAGAGGGAAAGAGAGACAGCAUUGUUGGAGACUUCCUCUUCCUCUAUGCCACAAGCUACAAGGCAUGAGGAGAGGGAAAGAGAGACAACACUGGAGGAGACUUCCUCUUCCUCUACACAAACUACAAGGUUUAAGGUGCCAGAUCUCUUGUCAUUGAAGCUUGACAUAAAUCUCUUGGCUGAUUCAUGUAUUUCGACAUUGUUCCCCACUGGUCUUGUGAUAAAAUAUUUUGUGAGAGUUGACAAUGAUGGAAUUUUCCAUACGUAUCCUGACCGUGGUGGACCGUUUGAGAGCAUAAAGGAAGUUCAGGAAGCCAUUGACUCCCACCAUGCUGUUCAGCGAAAAAACAUAUGCAUGGAUGGACUUACCGACGAGGAGAGGGCUAUCCGAUGUGCUCUUUACUGGUAUCAUAAUGGCACACGGAAGCACUCCAAAGAAGCUUUUGAUUACUGUACGACGGGUCUCCAGGAAUUGGUUAAGGCUGUACUCGACAAAUACAAUGAGGACAAUGGUCUUGUAGGGGAUCUUGCAUAUGAACUAGAAAAUAUUGUGAGCCACAAAUCAUGUUUUGACGGGAAAGAUUGCAUUUAUAGAUCUUACGAUCAUUUCAAUCUCACUAUGAAGACUAAAGGAGCUGCCAACAAGGAUCUGUACUUUGCUGAAGUCACAUGUAUGGACGGCGAUUAUGAAGCAUAUGUGCUCACCUGUAUCUGCAUGGUCAAACCUGAUGACAAUGGUGAAUGCCACGUGUGUGGAGCUGACAUGAAGCACCCUGCUCAUGAUGGAUACAACCGUGGCCGCCCCUUUAUUUCAUAUAGACAUGGUAGACGUCGUGCACGUGGAGUUCCUUUAUUUGAGAAGUUAUUUGCCGUGCGUGAUGAAGCUUGGCUGAAAGAAGAGGAGGCUAGGGUGAGACGUAUGAUCACGGAAGGGAAGGAGGAAAGGCGCAAGUUUCAUACCGGCUAG